This 1034-nucleotide ribosomal RNA is filed under the name Myopites inulaedyssentericae. RNAcentral's name for it is "partial 16S ribosomal RNA". The record is from RNAcentral. Lineage: Eukaryota; Metazoa; Arthropoda; Insecta; Diptera; Tephritidae.
UUGAAAAAUUUAUAUUAAAAAAGAAUAAUUUAAUUUUAGUACCUUGUGUAUCAGGGUUUAUUAAAUAUUUAAUGUUUAUUUAUAUUAAUCUCGAUUUUAUAAGAGUUAAUAAUUUAUUAUAUAUAAUGUAUUAAAAUUAUUUUAAAUAAAUUAUUGGAAAUGAAAUGUUAUUCGUUUAUAAAUAUAUCUAGUUUUUUUAGAAAUAAAUUUAAUUUAUAAAUUAUUAUAUUUUUUUAUUUUUUGUAAAAUAAAAAAAAUUAUUAAUUUAAAUAUUUUAAGGGAUAAGCUUUAAAAUAAAUUUUUAUAAAUUAAUGAAUUAUUAAUUAAAAUAUAUGCAUAGAAUUAGCAAUUAUUAAAAAGUUUGUUUUAAAUUAUUUAUUUUUUUAUAUAAUUUAUUAUAUUUUAAUUUAUUUAUAAAAAUGUUUAUAUUAAUAUAAAUUUAAUAAAGUAAUAAUGAUAAAAUUAGUAUAUAUAUUUUUUAUGUUUAUUUAAAUUUUUGUGAUAAGUUUAUAUAAAGAACUCGGCAAAUUUAUUAUAUACUCGCCUGUUUAACAAAAACAUGUCUUUUUGAAUUGAUUAAAAAGUCUAACCUGCCCAAUGAUUUUUUUUAAUGGCCGCAGUAUAUUAACUGUGCAAAGGUAGCAUAAUCAUUAGUCUUUUAAUUGGAGGCUUGUAUGAAUGGUUGGACGAAGUAUAAACUGUUUCAAAUAAAUUUAUUUUAGAAUUUUAUAUUUUAGUAAAAAAGCUAAAAUUUUAUUAAAAGACGAGAAGACCCUAUAAAUCUUUAUAUUUUUUGAUUAUUAAAUUUUAUAGUUUUAUUUUAUUUUUAAAUUAAUAAAUAUUUUGUUGGGGUGAUAUUAAAAUUUAUAAAACUUUUAAUUUUAUUUUAACAUUAAUUUAUGGAUGAUUGAUCUUUUAAUAUGGAUUAUAAGAAUAAGUUACUUUAGGGAUAACAGCGUAAUUUUUUUGGAGAGUUCUUAUUGAUAAAAAAGGUUGCGACCUCGAUGUUGGAUUAAGAUAAAUAUUUAGGUGUA